GUGCCCCCGCGCGUGACUUAAGCAUCAUCAAUAAGCGGAGGAAAAGAAACUAACAAGGAUUCCCCUAGUAACUGCGAGUGAAGCGGGAAAAGCUCAAAUUUAAAAUCUGGCGGUCUCUGGCCGUCCGAGUUGUAAUCUAGAGAAGUAAUGCCCGCGCUGGACCGUGUACAAGUCUCCUGGAAUGGAGCGUCAUAGAGGGUGAGAAUCCCGUCUCUGACACGGACUACCAGGGCUUUGUGGUAUGCUCUCAAAGAGUCGAGUUGUUUGGGAAUGCAGCUCAAAAUGGGUGGUAAAUUCCAUCUAAAGCUAAAUAUUGGCGAGAGACCGAUAGCGAACAAGUACCGUGAGGGAAAGAUGAAAAGAACUUUGGAAAGAGAGUUAAACAGUACGUGAAAUUGCUGAAAGGGAAACGCUUGAAGUCAGUCGCGUUGGCCAGGGAUCAGCCUCGCUCUUGCGUGGUGUACUUCCUGGUUGACGGGUCAGCAUCAAUUCUGACCGCUGGAAAAAGGCCUGGGGAAUGUGGCAGCUUCGGCUGUGUUAUAGCCCCUGGUCACAUACGGCGGUUGGGAUUGAGGAACUCAGCACGCCGCAAGGCCGGGUUUCGACCACGUUCGUGCUUAGGAUGCUGGCAUAAUGGCUUUAAGCGACCCGUCUUGAAACACGGACCAAGGAGUCUAACAUGCCUGCGAGUGUUUGGGUGGAAAACCCGAGCGCGUAAUGAAAGUGAAAGUUGAGAUCCCUGUCGUGGGGAGCAUCGACGCCCGGACCAGAACUUUUGGGACGGAUCCGCGGUAGAGCAUGUAUGUUGGGACCCGAAAGAUGGUGAACUAUGCCUGAAUAGGGUGAAGCCAGAGGAAACUCUGGUGGAGGCUCGUAGCGAUUCUGACGUGCAAAUCGAUCGUCAAAUUUGGGUAUAGGGGCGAAAGACUAAUCGAACCAUCUAGUAGCUGGGUGUCUGCCCGAAGUCCUCUCCCCGGGGUAGCCU
Molecule: ribosomal RNA, 985 nt
Filed under: Chlorophyllum sp.
Lineage: Eukaryota; Fungi; Basidiomycota; Agaricomycetes; Agaricales; Agaricaceae
Description: partial large subunit ribosomal RNA
Rfam family: Eukaryotic large subunit ribosomal RNA
Source: RNAcentral